CCCCCAGCCCGGCCCGGCCCCUGCCCCGGGGGGCCCCGCUCGGAGGGAAGUUUUUGGCUCAGAAAUGCUGUUACUGGGAGGGUCUGAAGAACCUGAAGGAAAUUGGAGUGUGACAUGGACUGAAGCCCCUUCUGUAACCUCCCCCAUUGCCCCUCUCGCCCUGACAGGCUGAAGAAUCAGGUCCACAUUUCGCUCCAGAUCAGCCCAUCUUCUAGGAGACAGGGAAGGGAAAUGGCUGUGAUGGAGCCAGCUCAGAUGCCGGUGACCUUCGAGGAGGUGGCUGUGUAUUUCACCCAGGGGCAGG
Long non-coding RNA from Mauremys reevesii (Reeves's turtle), 304 nucleotides. RefSeq lists it as uncharacterized. NCBI's taxonomy places the organism in Eukaryota, Metazoa, Chordata, Testudines, Geoemydidae. The record is from RefSeq and is a predicted model, not a curated record. The transcript has 3 exons.